This 193-nucleotide unclassified non-coding RNA is filed under the name uncultured fungus. RNAcentral's name for it is "sequence contains ITS1". The record is from RNAcentral. Lineage: Eukaryota; Fungi.
UCGAGUGUUUACCCCCCUCGUAAAAAAAGGGGGGUUACCUCCCGUCCUUUGCUGAGGGGCCCCCUCUUUUAUUUUUGGGAGGGGGCUUUUUACAGAACCCCCUUCUGCUUCGGCGGGGUCAAACCCCCCUGCCGGAACACCCUCAAAAUUCUUUUUAAUUGUUCAGUCCGAGUGUUUUUUAAAAAUGAUAACA